AGCUUUGCGCAGUGGCAGUAUCAUAGCCAAUGAGGUUUAUCUGAGGUGGUUAUUGCUAAUUAAAAGU
This 67-nucleotide small nuclear RNA is filed under the name Heterocephalus glaber (naked mole-rat). RNAcentral's name for it is "U4 spliceosomal RNA". It matches the Rfam family "U4 spliceosomal RNA", at positions 1 to 69 of the family's 138-position model. Rfam says of the family: U4 small nuclear RNA (U4 snRNA) is a component of the major U2-dependent spliceosome. The structure of U4 snRNA from yeast and human has been reported. The record is from Rfam by way of RNAcentral. Lineage: Eukaryota; Metazoa; Chordata; Mammalia; Rodentia; Bathyergidae.